This 119-nucleotide ribosomal RNA is filed under the name Pteropus alecto (black flying fox). The record is from RNAcentral. Lineage: Eukaryota; Metazoa; Chordata; Mammalia; Chiroptera; Pteropodidae.
GUCUACAGGCAUGCCGCGCUAACCAAGCCCGAUUCCGUCUGAUCUCGGAAGCUAAGCAGGGUCGAGCCUGGUUAGUACUUGGAUGGGAGACUACCUAGGAAGACCAGGUGCUGUAGGCA